GAUGAACGCUGGCGGCGUGCCUAAUACAUGCAAGUCGAGCGAACGGACGAGAAGCUUGCUUCUCGGAUGUUAGCGGCGGAUGCGUGAGUAACACGUGGAUAACCUACCUAUAAGACUGGGAUAACUUCGGGAAACCGUAGCUAAUACCGGAUCAUAUUUUGAACCGCAUGGUUCAAAAGUGAAAGACGGUCUUGCUGUCACCUAUAGAUGGAUCCGCGCUGCAUUAGCUAGUUGGUAAGGUAACGGCUUACCAAGGCAACGAUGCAUAGCCGACCUGAGAGCGACGAUGGCCACACUGGAUCUGAGACACGGUCCAGACUCCGACAGGGGGCCGCAGUAGGGAAUCUUCCGCGAUGGGCGAAAGCGUGACAGUGCACCGCCGCGUAAGUGCUGAAGGUCUGCCGCUCGUAAAACUCUGUUAUUAUGGAAGAACAUAUGUGUAAGUAACUGUGCACAUCUUGACGGUACCUAAUCAGAAAGCCACGGCUAACUACGUG
Molecule: ribosomal RNA, 497 nt
Filed under: uncultured bacterium
Lineage: Bacteria
Description: partial 16S ribosomal RNA
Rfam family: Bacterial small subunit ribosomal RNA
Source: RNAcentral